This 200-nucleotide unclassified non-coding RNA is filed under the name uncultured fungus. Its description in RNAcentral is "sequence contains ITS1, 5.8S rRNA gene". The stretch from base 152 to 200 matches the Rfam family "5.8S ribosomal RNA", at positions 1 to 49 of the family's 154-position model. The record is from RNAcentral. Lineage: Eukaryota; Fungi.
UUUCCGUAGGUGAACCUGCGGAAGGAUCAUUGAUGGAGCCGUGGGUGGCUUUAAACCCCGCAAACCAACAACCGUGAACAACCUGUGCCGGCGGGCCUCGUACGUGUCGCAACUGUCGUGUGGAGGUCAUGAAAGCAAAACAAAAGAGUACAACUCUCAACGAUGGAUCUCUUGGCUCUCGCAUCGAUGAAGAACGCAGC